GGACCUAAUCAAGAAGUUUCUGGUGAUUGAUCGGGCAAGAAGGCUUGGAAACAUGAAGAAUGGAGCUGAUGAUGUGAAGAAGCACAGAUGGUUUAAGUCAGUAGACUGGGAUUCUGUGCCCUGUAGAAAACUCAAGCCACCCAUAGUUCCCAAGGUGUCUCACGAGGGUGACACGUCUAACUUUGACACCUAUCCAGAGGAUGAGUGGAAGAAGGACACACCAGUGCCAGCUAAGGAUUUGGAAAUUUUCAAGGACUUCUGAAAGGAUAUUCUUUUGAAUGAAUAAAAAGACAGGACUGAUGGAAGAUAAUGAUUUAGCUGAAGUUUUAGCCUAACCAUUCAGGAGACAUUAAAAGGUCAUAGUUGCAUUAUUAUUAUAGACAUGUCUUGCCUGCUUGUUCCCGAGUCCUGCACACUUGAGAAACGGAAACAGACUUCUUCUGAUCCUCAUUAAUGUGAUCAUAAUCAUAGUCAAACGUUUACCAAGGAAACAGUUCAUCACUUCAACCUCUUGUAUGAUGAGCAACUUGAUUCAACACCCUCUGAGUCUCUUAUAUUAUGCAAAAGGAAUGUUUUUAAAUAUCAUUUCAAAUAAGCAAUAUCAAGGUUCUUUAAGCUGGAUCAAGACAAUGUCUUUGCUUAUGCCUAAACGUGUAUGGUCAUGGUUUUGUUUUGACUUUAUACCUUAACAAACUUGCUGAAUUAGAGCUUUAAGCCUGACAAAUUUUAUUUCUGGUUAUCUGUACUUGCUGUGUUGAUCCAUUCCUCCCACAUGGUAUUUCUAUGUAAAUUUUGUAACAUUAGGGCUGUUUCACACUGCACUAGCUGUGACAAUGUGCUUUUAUACUGGCAGCAUUUCUCCUGCGUAACAAACCUGCCAGUCUAUACAAAAAAAAAGAAUAAUAAUAAAACAAAUAAUGCACACUAUUAAUACAAAUUAACAUUAAUUACCAAAAUAAAUAAUGGCAAUUAAUCUUAAAAUGGUCAUUCAUAUUUGAGACUACAAAAAUGUAUACUCUGAAAUGUAAUUUACAUGUAGCUGUAGGCCAUAUUUACAUCCAAAAAGUCAUUCAUCUAAACCAGAACCCAAACUCUAAACUGUAUCGAUAAAUUGUCACUUGGAUUCAGUCAUAAUUACUAAACAGAAAGUGCUGCUUGUGUGUGUGUGUGUGUGUGUGUGUGUGUGUGUGUGUGUGUAUGUGUAUGUGUGCGUGCGUGCGUGCGUGCGUGUAUGUGUGUCUGUGUUUUUUCCAGAUCGCAGGUAAAUAAUAACCUCCCGUAUUUUAUUUGAUUACUGUAACCUGUUGAUAUUGUAUGUAAGCCCAUUUCUGUCACAAGAAAAAAAAUGCUUUGGUAAAUCAAUUAUUACAUACAAAGUCAUAAU
This is a long non-coding RNA of Sinocyclocheilus grahami, 1384 nucleotides long. RefSeq lists it as uncharacterized. The transcript is spliced from 3 exons. Lineage: Eukaryota; Metazoa; Chordata; Actinopteri; Cypriniformes; Cyprinidae. The record is from RefSeq and is a predicted model, not a curated record.